RNAcentral lists this ribosomal RNA (497 nucleotides) under uncultured bacterium. RNAcentral's name for it is "partial 16S ribosomal RNA". It matches the Rfam family "Bacterial small subunit ribosomal RNA", at positions 28 to 507 of the family's 1533-position model. The record is from RNAcentral.
GACGAACGCUGGCGGCGUGCCUAAUACAUGCAAGUUGAGCGCUGAAGGUUGGUACUUGUACCAACUGGAUGAGCAGCGAACGGGUGAGUAACGCGUGGGGAAUCUGCCUUUGAGCGGGGGACAACAUUUGGAAACGAAUGCUAAUACCGCAUAAAAACUUUAAACACAAGUUUUAAGUUUGAAAGAUGCAAUUGCAUCACUCAAAGAUGAUCCCGCGUUGUAUUAGCUAGUUGGUGAGGUAAAGGCUCACCAAGGCGAUGAUACAUAGCCGACCUGAGAGGGUGAUCGGCCACAGUGGGACUGAGACACGGCCCAACCUCCUACGGGAGGCAGCAGUAGGGAAUCUUCGGCAAUAGACGAAAGGCUGACCGAGCAACGCCGCGUGAGUGAAGAAGGUUUUCGGAUCGUAAAACUCUGUUGGUAGAGAAGAACGUUGGUGAGAGUGGAAAGCUCAUCAAGUGACGGUAACUACCCAGAAAGGGACGGCUAACUACGUG